Musa acuminata subsp. malaccensis (wild Malaysian banana) is the source of this 3075-nucleotide non-coding RNA. NCBI's taxonomy places the organism in Eukaryota, Viridiplantae, Streptophyta, Magnoliopsida, Zingiberales, Musaceae. The record is from RefSeq and is a predicted model, not a curated record.
CUUCUCCUCUCACAUCUGACCGCCAAAACAAAGCCCUAAAAGGCCCGCACUCUCACUCUCCCUCGCGAUCUCAUCGACGACGGCGGCAAUGGACGCCACCCCACGAAAACCUAAGCCCAGAUCUACUCCCUUGAGGCCCAAACCCUCGCCGCUCGUCCCUCCGACGCCGGAAUCCGCCACCCCGCGCCGCUCCCUCCGCCUGCACCGCUCCGCUUCCGGCCUCGCAUCACCUCUCACCCCCGGCCCGGCUGCAGGCCGCCUCGACAUACCCAGAUCUGCCCGCAAGGCCAAGCGGUCGCUGCAGAUCGACGAGGCGCCGCUUACCGAGCCGCCCUCCGCUUUCUCCCCUGUCACCCCGGAAUCGAAGAGGAGGAGACGAUCCCAGCCCUCCAGAGCUUCGAACGGGCGGGUGUACUACAAGAAGGUGGUGUACGACGGCGGAGAGUUUGAGGUGGGGGACGACGUGUACGUGAAGAGGAAGGAGGCGCCGGAGUCCGCCGAUGACGACCCGGAAGUGGAGGAGUGCCGGAUUUGCUUCCGGACAGGCAGGAGAGUGAUGAUCGAGUGCGAUGAUUGCUUGGGGGGGUUCCAUCUCGUGUGCUUGGAACCGCCGCUAAGGAAGAUCCCGGAGGGGGACUGGAUCUGUGGGUUCUGCCAGGCGCGGAAGAUGGGUAUAGACGUGGAGCUGCCGAAACCUCCCGAGGGGAGGAAAAUGAGGAGGACUGCCAAGGAGAAGCUUCUUUCUAGUGAUUUGUGGGCUGCUCGAAUCGAGAGCUUGUGGAGAGAACCAGAUGGUACCUAUUGGCUAAAAUGUCGGUGGUACAUAAUUCCUGAAGAGACUGCAGUUGGGAGGCAGCCACAUAACCUGCGGAGGGAACUAUACCGUACAAAUGAUUUAGGUGAUAUUGAGAUCGAGUCUGUCCUUCGGCAUUGCUAUGUUAUGAGUCCAAACAACUAUAAAGAAGCCAGCAAUGAGGGAGAUGAUGUAUUUUAUUGUGAAUAUGAGUAUGACAUUCACUGGCACAACUUCAAGCGUCUAACAGAUAUUGAUGAUGCCAUUGAGAAUGACAAAGGAGUUGAAAGUGAUGAAGAUUGGAAAAUUUCCAAGGAUCCUGAUACAGAUGAAGAUUCGGAGUGUGAAGAACUUGCUAGGGUGAACCAUUCUGCUCAGAGGAGACAUGAGUCAGCAGCCAACAUACGCAAGGGAAGGACAUUUGGUCUUCAAAAGAUUGGUAUAAAAAGAAUUCCUGAACAUGCACGAUGCUCUAAGCAGACUGAUUUGGAGAAGGCCAAAGCCAUGUUGCUUCUAGCAACUUUGCCCAAAUCACUUCCUUGCAGGACUAAAGAAAUGGAAGAGAUAACUGCAUUCAUCAGAGGUGCUAUUUCUGAUGAUCAUUGUUCAGGACGCUGCCUUUAUAUUCAUGGUGUUCCAGGAACUGGCAAGACUAUGUCUGUACUUGCGGCAAUGAGAAAUCUGAGGUCGGAGGUCGAUGCACGAACUGUGAGGCCCUAUACCUUUGUAGAUAUUAAUGGUCUGAAACUAGCUUCUCCAGAGAAUAUUUACAAAGUAAUCUAUGAAGCACUAAGUGGUUACAGGGUUGGAUGGAAAACUGCUCUUCAUCUUUUGAAUGAACGUUUUUCCAAGGGUGGUGGAGUCAGCAACAAUGAGCUUCGACCUUGUGUUUUGCUUAUAGAUGAGCUUGAUCUUCUUUUGACUAGAAACCAAUCGGUUUUGUAUAACAUUCUUGAUUGGCCUACUAAACCACAAUCAAAGCUCGUUGUGAUAGGAAUAGCAAACACUAUGGAUCUUCCUGAAAAGUUAUUGCCACGCAUUUCAAGCAGAAUGGGGAUUCAGCGGCUAUGUUUUGGGCCUUAUAGUUAUCAACAAUUACAAGAAAUCAUUUCUAGCCGUCUUAAAGGCCUUGAUGCAUUUGAGGAACAAGCUGUUGAGUUUGCUUCCAGGAAGGUUGCAGCUAUGUCAGGCGAUGCUAGACGGGCACUGGAGAUAUGUAGGCGGGCAGCUGAAAUAGCAGAUUAUCAAUUCAAGCAAUCACCGUUGUGCAAACAGCCAUCAGAAUCUGUUGAUGGUUCUUUUGAAGGAAAACGGCUUGUUGGUAUGGCUGAUAUAGAGGCUGCCAUACAUGAAUUGUUUCAGGCACCACAUAUUCAAAUAAUGAAAACUGCUUCAAGACUCGGCAAAAUUUUCUUGGUGGCUAUGGUCUAUGAACUUUAUAGAAGUGGAUUGGGUGAAACAAACUUUGAAAAGUUGGCUACCACUGUUGCCUCUUUGUGCACGAGCAAUAAGGAAGCAUCACCUGGAUGGGAUACACUCCUGAAAGUUGGUUGCAAGCUUGGUGAGAGUAGAAUAAUACUUUGUGAGGAAGGCACAAAGCAUAGGUUGCAAAAAUUGCAGCUCAACUUCCCAAGUGAUGAUGUCGCUUUUGCCUUGAAAGAUUGCUCAGAACUUCCUUGGUUGUCGAAGUAUUUAUAAAUUAUUACUCUGGAAAGAAGAUGAGGUGCUACUCGGUUCCACUAUUCAUUCCCAAAAGUCUGGGCUCUUCUUUUUAUUAAAUGUUGUGCUGAUGUGGAAGAUGCUGGAUGGAGGUAGACACUUGACGACGCUGCUAUGACUUGGUUACAUGGAUGAGGGAAAUCUAAGAGCUGUUUGAAAAACUCGUUCUAAUUUCCAUGCAUCCCAAGAAAUGCAUAUUGCAGAAUCAAAUGCCCCGUUCUGAAAGGUGGAAUAUGUUCCCUCGGCCCCACCUUGGUUUUGAAGAAAUCAUUUAUACGAAAUGUGGAUCACCUGUUAUUGGGUUUCGUGCUGCUAAUCAAUAUCAACAUAAGGCUUACCCAAAUUUUCCAAUGCUGAGGUAAACAAUCAGAAUUUGACAUCUAAAGUCUAAAUUUGGUUGUAGGCAAAAUAUUUUCCAGAUUAUUUGAACCAUUAAUGCUUUAAGGUGUGUUAUUAUUAGUAACUUGAAGAUUUCUAGUCUCCACUUCAUGUAUAUCUCUACGCUGCGAUGGUAUUUGCCACCUUCUCAGGUCCGCCUGACCCGUUACUAGAAUCUGUUGUGC